This 65-nucleotide transfer RNA is filed under the name Anaspis sp. ANA01. Its description in RNAcentral is "tRNA-Leu". Lineage: Eukaryota; Metazoa; Arthropoda; Insecta; Coleoptera; Scraptiidae. The record is from RNAcentral.
AUUAUUUUGGCAGAUUAGUGCAAUGGAUUUAGAAUCUAUUAAAUGUAUAUUUUAUACAAAUAAUA